CUCUAUGGCGGCUGUGCGUGAGGGCACUUUCGGGUGCGCCGGUCUUAGCUCCCGGUCGACUAACCUUUCGCACAGCUGCCACCUCA
Pseudomonas syringae pv. syringae B728a is the source of this 86-nucleotide non-coding RNA. The record is from Rfam. Lineage: Bacteria; Pseudomonadati; Pseudomonadota; Gammaproteobacteria; Pseudomonadales; Pseudomonadaceae.